GUUCCCGUAGCUCAGCUGGAUAGAGCACUGGUUUCCUAAACCGGGGGUCGCGUGUUCGAGUCACGCCGGGAACG
Molecule: transfer RNA, 74 nt
Filed under: Alphaproteobacteria bacterium
Lineage: Bacteria; Pseudomonadati; Pseudomonadota; Alphaproteobacteria
Also listed under: 1 other name
Description: tRNA-Arg
Rfam family: tRNA
About the family: Transfer RNA (tRNA) molecules are approximately 80 nucleotides in length. Their secondary structure includes four short double-helical elements and three loops (D, anti-codon, and T loops).
Source: RNAcentral